Molecule: ribosomal RNA, 253 nt
Filed under: uncultured bacterium
Lineage: Bacteria
Description: partial 16S ribosomal RNA
Rfam family: Bacterial small subunit ribosomal RNA
Source: RNAcentral
UACGGAGGGUGCAAGCGUUAUCCGGAUUCACUGGGUUUAAAGGGUGCGUAGGAGGGCAGGUAAGUCAGUGGUGAAAUCUUCGAGCUUAACUCGGAAACUGCCGUUGAUACUAUUUGUCUUGAAUACCGUGGAGGUGAGCGGAAUAUGUCAUGUAGCGGUGAAAUGCUUAGAUAUGACAUAGAACACCGAUUGCGAAGGCAGCUCACUACACGAAUAUUGACUCUGAGGCACGAAAGCGUGGGGAUCAAACAGG